RNAcentral lists this RNase P RNA (421 nucleotides) under Fluviicola sp. Its description in RNAcentral is "RNase P RNA component class A". It matches the Rfam family "Bacterial RNase P class A". Rfam says of the family: Ribonuclease P (RNase P) is a ubiquitous endoribonuclease, found in archaea, bacteria and eukarya as well as chloroplasts and mitochondria. Lineage: Bacteria; Pseudomonadati; Bacteroidota; Flavobacteriia; Flavobacteriales; Crocinitomicaceae. The record is from RNAcentral.
AAAGCAAGCCGACUGUCGCUCCUGAUUCAUUUUGGGGGAGGAAAGUCCGGGCAGCGUAGAGCAACCGUGCUUCCUAACAGGAAGGAUUCGUUAGCCGAAAGGUUGACGGGUACAGAAAGUGCAGCAGAAAACAAACCGCCCUGGCUUGCUUGCAACGUCAGGGUAAGGGUGAAAAGGUGAGGUAAGAGCUCACCGUUCCGGUGGUGACAUUCGGAAGCUAGGUAAACCUCACGGGCUGAAAGAUCAUGUAAACCAGGCGAGUAGGGCUGCUCGUUCUCUUUUCGUAUGUCUCGGCAUACGGGAUGCUUGGGGGGUGGAUCGAUAGAUGCUGAUGGCGACGUCAGUACCAGAUAAAUGACAGUCAGUUUCGGAGAUGGAUUCUCCGGAAUGUACAGAACCCGGCUUAUGGCUUGCUUUUUUG